UACGUAGGGUGCGAGCGUUAAUCGGAAUUACUGGGCGUAAAGCGUGCGCAGGCGGUGAUGUAAGACCGAUGUGAAAUCCCCGGGCUUAACCUGGGAACUGCAUUGGUGACUGCAUCGCUCGAGUAUGGCAGAGGGGGGUAGAAUUCCACGUGUAGCAGUGAAAUGCGUAGAGAUGUGGAGGAACACCGAUGGCGAAGGCAGCCCCCUGGGUCAAGACUGACGCUCGAUGCACGAAAGCGUGGGGAGCAACAGG
Molecule: ribosomal RNA, 253 nt
Filed under: uncultured bacterium
Lineage: Bacteria
Description: partial 16S ribosomal RNA
Rfam family: Bacterial small subunit ribosomal RNA
Source: RNAcentral